Molecule: ribosomal RNA, 397 nt
Filed under: uncultured bacterium
Lineage: Bacteria
Description: partial 16S ribosomal RNA
Rfam family: Bacterial small subunit ribosomal RNA
Source: RNAcentral
AUACGUAGGGGGCGAGCGUUGUCCGGAAUGAUUGGGCGUAAAGGGCGCGUAGGCGGCCCGGUAAGUCUGGAGUGAAAGUCCUGUUUUUAAGAUGGGGAUUGCUUUGGAUACUGUCGGGCUUGAGUGCAGGAGAGGUAAGUGGAAUUCCCAGUGUAGCGGUGAAAUGCGUAGAGAUUGGGAGGAACACCAGUGGCGGAGGCGACUUACUGGACUGUAACUGACGCUGAGGCGCGAAAGUGUGGGGAGCAAACAGGAUUAGAUUCCCUGGUAGUCCACACUGUAAACGAUGAAUGCUAGGUGUAGGGGGUAUCGACCCCUUCUGUGCCGCAGUCAACACAAUAAGCAUUCCGCCUGGGGAGUACGGCCGCAAGGUUGAAACUCAAAGGAAUUGACGGGG